RNAcentral lists this transfer RNA (69 nucleotides) under Dipodomys ordii (Ord's kangaroo rat). It matches the Rfam family "tRNA". Rfam says of the family: Transfer RNA (tRNA) molecules are approximately 80 nucleotides in length. Lineage: Eukaryota; Metazoa; Chordata; Mammalia; Rodentia; Heteromyidae. The record is from Rfam by way of RNAcentral.
GGGAAAGUGGCUCAGUGGUAGAGUGCUUGCCUUAUAUACAUGAGGUCCUAGGUUUGAUUCCUAGCACCA